CAGAGAGAAAAAGUGGAGCUAUGGGGCCUUGGUUUUUCCAAGAUUUGAGAUCUUUCUUACAAUUCUAGCUAUACCUUGCAUUUGCAAAGCCUCGGUAAACGUAGUUAAAGGAGGAUCAUCUGCAGGAAUUGCUGUUGGCAUUUUGCUGUUGGGAUUAGUAUCAUUUCUAUUGCUACAAUUGUUUUUGUUCCUCUCUAUUGGAAUAACAUUAGGGAAGCUACUUCAGUAUAAGGAGGUACACCAAGUAGGGCAG
This 253-nucleotide unclassified non-coding RNA is filed under the name Hevea brasiliensis (rubber tree). The record is from RNAcentral. Lineage: Eukaryota; Viridiplantae; Streptophyta; Magnoliopsida; Malpighiales; Euphorbiaceae.